RNAcentral lists this long non-coding RNA (1051 nucleotides) under Zonotrichia albicollis (white-throated sparrow). RNAcentral describes it as "lncRNA (ENSZALG00000013794.1)". The record is from RNAcentral. Lineage: Eukaryota; Metazoa; Chordata; Aves; Passeriformes; Passerellidae.
AUUGAUGUUUGCCACUAAGAUAACUUUUUAGCACCAGAACCCGGGUUUAAAUUGGUGCUUGAAAGCCCUGUUUGUUUCAGAUUCCAUCCCUCCCUGGGAAGCUGCUAGGAAACAGAAACUGCUGCUGCAAUUUCCCAGCUUCUGAAAUGGCAGCAAGUCCAUUUCCAUAUCUUUGAUGUUGCUCCCAUGAAGAUGUGAGUGCACUCAGAAGUGCUGGAUAACAGAGCCAGGUACUGAGAUUGUGCCUGACACCAGAGUGACUUUGCCUCUGUGGGUUGGCCUCAGUGAGGGCCAAGUGCAAGCACAGCCACAGGAACAGCACAGAGAUGUACAAGAGAAUGAUGGGAUUGCUACAGUAAGGAAAAAUACAAUUAUAAGAGCCACUCCUACCAGGUUAGAUGCAAGUCUCUCCCAUUUAGUGAGAAACACAGACAAGCAAACAAAUGCAGCAACCAAACUAAAAAUGAUGGAAUUGUGUUUUUCAGAUCUCCUUGUUCCAUAUGUCAGUGACAUUUUCCCUGAGGAGACAUGAUUAUUUCUCAAUUUUGCCCAAAUGAACUGAGGAGAUCCCCAGCCAGAAUGAAAAAAUAGGAACUUCUUCAGAGGGGACAGACAUCUGUGCUGCGGAGUAAUCAUCAAACUCAGAAUUGUGGCAAGAAGAUAUUAUCAAUAAUAUCUCACCUCUCAUUACAAGGACAUGAAUUCCAGAAAUGUGAAUUUAAAUUACCUGUUCAGAAGAAUAUUCAGAUUCCAAAAUCUACAAAACAGGAACUGAUGGAAUCAGUGCUGCUGAAGCAAGCAGACUCUUUAAAUGCAAGCAUAAACUGCUGGAAACUUCCUCCCUGGCCCCAACAAUUUCUCUUAAUUACAGAUCUCUAUAUUUCUCUAAAUUGUGCUGCUGUGUUGCUAGCACACUUCAAGCCAAUGGAGUUACUGGCUAGAUAACCCAUCCUUACCACAAAAAGAAAAAUGGGAGCAAAUGUGCAUGUGGGAGAGUUCAAGGUCCAGAUUUUGGAAGGAAAUAAAUGUCUCUUAAUUCCAUUGACUGUCA